Molecule: long non-coding RNA, 495 nt
Filed under: Bos taurus (domestic cattle)
Lineage: Eukaryota; Metazoa; Chordata; Mammalia; Artiodactyla; Bovidae
Description: long non-coding RNA NONBTAT000010
Source: RNAcentral
UAAAUUUUUCAUUUUAUUCAAAGUUGGUACAGAAGUGCUAACGUUUCCAUAAAAUAAUUACUAUACUUCAGUUACAGGACAAAAUACCACAGAAAGGAAUAUACUUUGCAAGAAAUGUAGUUCAUCUUAAGUUUCCAAAUACUUUUAAACGCUAAUGCAGCAGCUGGCAAAAUAACACACAGUACACAGAAAACAGUGUAUUUUACAGAGUCAGUAAUGAAAACUGACAGCUCUUUAGCAGAUAUGCUUCAUUUUUUUUUAAAACAAUAACACUUUUAAAAACACAUUAAACCAAGAUCAUACAUGUCUACAAUUUAAAAAAUCAGAUUGUAUACAAUAGAAGAGUCAAGUUAGAAUUGUCAUGUAUGGUUAACAAUCCUAAAUCUACAAUUUCAAUUGUAUUCAAUAUGGAAGUUACCUGGUUUAUACCAAAUUCUACUUUCUGUUCACAACUAAAACAUUAUACAAUGAGAUGGACUUGGUAAGUCAAACCUU